This 519-nucleotide ribosomal RNA is filed under the name uncultured eukaryote. RNAcentral describes it as "SSU rRNA". It matches the Rfam family "Eukaryotic small subunit ribosomal RNA", at positions 1161 to 1704 of the family's 1831-position model. The record is from RNAcentral.
AGGGCACCACCAGGAGUGGAGCCUGCGGCUUAAUUUGACUCAACACGGGAAAACUCACCCGGCCCGGACACCGUAAGGAUUGACAGAUUGAGAGCUCUUUCUUAAUUCGGUGGGUGGUGGUGCAUGGCCGUUCUUAGUUGGUGGAGCGAUUUGUCUGGUUAAUUCCGAUAACGAACGAGACUCUGGCCUAUUAAAUAGACGAGAUAUUAAAAAGUAUAUCGCACUUCUUAGAGGGACAAGCGGCGUCUAGUCGCGUGAAAAAGAGCAAUAACAGGUCUGUGAUGCCCUUAGAUGUCCGGGGCUGCACGCGCGCUACACUGAAAGAAUCAGUGUGCGUUUUACCUAGUUCGGAAGAACCGGGUAACCCAAGUAAAUUCUUUCGUGCUUGGGAUAGGGAAUUGCAAUUAUUUCCCUUAAACGAGGAAUUCCCAGUAAAUGCGGGUCAUAAACUCGCGUUGAUUACGUCCCUGCCCUUUGUACACACCGCCCGUCGCUGCCCGAGACUGAGCCAUUUCGAGA